Molecule: ribosomal RNA, 253 nt
Filed under: uncultured bacterium
Lineage: Bacteria
Description: partial 16S ribosomal RNA
Rfam family: Bacterial small subunit ribosomal RNA
Source: RNAcentral
UACAGAGGUGGCAAGCGUUGUUCGGAAUUACUGGGCGUAAAGGGCGCGUAGGCGGCCUUCUAAGUCAGACGUGAGAUCCCCCGGCUUAACCUGGGAACUGCGUCUGAUACUGGGAGGCUUGAGUAUGGGAGAGGGAUGUAGAAUUCCAGGUGUAGCGGUGAAAUGCGUAGAUAUCUGGAGGAAUACCGGUGGCGAAGGCGGCAUCCUGGACCAUUACUGACGCUGAGGCGCGAAAGCUAGGGGAGCAAACGGG